Molecule: long non-coding RNA, 2963 nt
Organism: Spinacia oleracea (spinach)
Lineage: Eukaryota; Viridiplantae; Streptophyta; Magnoliopsida; Caryophyllales; Amaranthaceae
Exons: 4
Source: RefSeq, a predicted model, not a curated record
CAUUAAAACGGCUGAACUAUUACGACCAAAAGUAAAUUCCUCGUAAUAGUUGUGAAGGAAAAAUAAAAAUAAUUAUAAAAACAAAUUGGUCGUCGUUAUUUCCUAUUUCUGCAGGGCCAUAGGUUUGAAUUUACAAAGGCCACCUUCUUAAAAUUUCAACCUAAAACCCAAAUUUGCGAUUCAUACUCUCUUUCUCCCUCUCUGUCUCUCUCUCUCCUACUUCCGCGAUCCCCUUUCGAAAUGGGUUGUAGCAAUCAAUUUAGCAUUUUGGUUAAAUUUUUUGGUAUGGUCAAACUCUGAUAUGGCUGUCAAAUUCUUGAAUUGCAGUAACCUAAUUCUGGUAAAUUCCUUAAUUUUCUCGAUUUAUAUAACUAAUUUCAAACGUUAUUGUGAAUUGAACUAUAGUAUCUUUUGUUGUUGUUGUUGCGGCCUGAAUUGUUUAAUUUAUUGUUAUUCAAGGGGAAAUCUUCUAAUCGCAGGUCAAUCUCCAAAUUCUAGUUUGUAAACCCUCAAAUUUAUAAUUUCCUCGUGAUAUUUUCAUAUGGGUUUGUGGUAUUUCACUCCUUUGAAUGGUCUUAAUAAAAUGGGUAUCUCAAUUUCACCAAAACCUCGAUAAAUAGAAGAUUUUCUCAAACGGCUCCUAAUCAAUUCGAAAUCUGAAGCCUUCAAGAUUGAAGUUAUGAUUCCUUGUAGGAACGACAAUAUGAAGUAUUUGAAGGUCAUAAUCCUAAAUGGGAUUAGUUCGUUAACUAAGAAGAUCAAAGAUAGCAUUUUGUGUUGAAUAAGGUAAAUUCGGAUUUUUAUCAUCGCAAAUUUAACUUUUCUACUUAUCUGAGUUGUAAUUUGAAGAGAAUAGGUCCUGAAAGGGAAAUGAAUAAGGUACCUAAGAAGGCAGAAGAUAGAAUUUUGUUAAGGUAAAUUCAAGUCUUUAUCAUCGGAAAUUUACUUUUUUUACUUUUAUGAGUUGUAAUUUAAAGCUAAUAGGUUCUGAAAGGGAAAUAAAGGGCAACAUUAAUUCAGGUAAUACUUUUAUCUACGUGUUUAUAUAAUUGAAGUCGUGCCCUCUCUUUUCCUCAAGAAGAAAUAUUUAGCAUAGUUUCUACAAUUCCUUUUGGCAAUAUCGAAUCUGGCUUAAAGAAAGGAAAUAGAUUCACUGUUGUAAAAGAUGGUAGGUCAAGAUUCCAUCUAAGUAUUGCCUCGGAACUUAUCAUGUAUAUGCUUCUUCUGCAAUCUGCAUACCAACAAUAGUUUUCAAACAAAGAAUUGACCAUUUAUUUUAAUUUAUGUAAGGUGUGAUGCUCACGCAUUUGUCUACCCCUGAACAAGUCACUAAAAGAAGUAUUUAUCACCUUAAUGCCAAGUUAGCAUAUGGAUGGUUUAGUUAAGACGAUAUGCUCACGACUCAUUGACUUGUAUGAUUAUGGUGUUAGAGAAUUGCUAUUGCAACCCUUUCCGAUCAAUUUUUGAAUCUAAAUAUAUAGAAAUGUUGUUCUUAUUUUAAGCAUGCUGUUUUUCCCUAGGCAAGUUGUUUGAUAAAAUAUACACUUCUCUGAGUUGUUAUUUGAAAAAUAUUGAUAGAAUUUGGAACAAAAUUCCCCUUCAGGACCUAUUUCUAAGGCUAGUUAUGGAACAAAAUUGUUCCUUUAGUUUGUAGUUCACUCUUAGAAUUAGAAUCUUCUCAUACUACCCAACACAAACUGUGUGUAGGGAAUUAUAGAUUGUGUCUUUUGUAUAGUAUCGCUUUGACUAGAAUUGCAGUUACUAGAAUAUUAUUACCAUCUUUUGAUUGAAAGUUGACUCUUUGCCUCUCUUGUUGUUGCUUUGUAGAUACUAGGUGUGGAUAAUGUACACUCAAUAUACGUUAAUGCAUUACCAAAUGGUGAAAAAGGGAGAAAAUAAGGGGAAUAUCCAACUUUGGUUGAUGUAUUCUGCGCGACUCUCAAGGAGGGCACUAGCCUCCCUAAUGCAGAAACGACACAAAAUAAGUAUGUCCUUUCUCACCUAUAUCAGCUUUUGCUGAAAUAACUAUGGAUUUUCAGUUAUAUAAACUGAUAAACUUACAAGUAGUUGUAGCCAAUAUGCAAUGUUGUCAAGAUAUCAGUUCUUAGUUGGUGCGAUAAGGUGAUAUUCCCCUUCUGUAAAUGUAAGUUUUUGUGAUUUUGGACUCUAGAAACUCAUGACAGAUCUAAAUCAUGUUUUUUACAUACAAGUUCUCAUUGUGAGAUGAUUUCAGUUACUGAAGUGCAAAUGCUGUCAGUUUUUCAGCUAAUAUGUAUAGCCAUUUUUUGUGCCUGUGUAGUGUUGCGCCCGUGGUGAGAAUGCCUAAGAUCAUCAAUAUUCAAUACUGGCUUAUAUAUUAAUUAAGAAUACUUCCAUGGUUUUCAAGACUCAUUUUGCAAUUCCUAAGGAGGAAAUUCAAAUGGAAGAAGAACCAACACUUUCCCAUAUACAUACACAGGAGGAAAUUCUUCAUUUAUAUCUUUUUUUUUAAUUUUAUUUUCACUUUCCCAUGCCAUGAUAUUUAACUUUUUUGCCUCUUUAUACAGGUAGCACAAAAGUUGUUAAAGUUGAAGUCUCGUGAUCGGGUUUUUGGUUUUGGAGGAGGAAUUACACUUGAAGAAAUGUCAGGACCACAACCUAGUAGGGUGGAACUUCAAUCUAAGAAACUCACGUUCUUACCAAUCGCGUGGAUGCGGUACAAGAAGAAAACAUUGCACUCCAAGAUUAGCUUAAUGAGAUUAAAGCAUUUAAAGAAGUGUUCUUACAACGCUUUUCAAGAGAUGGCACUCCAAGAGAAAACUUCAACUAGUCAGGCGUUUAUUGUUCUUUUAGAUUGAACAAAAAUUAAUUAUCCUUUAGCUCUUUUAGAAUUUAAAGACAAGGGGAUGUGAGUUUUGAUUUCACAUAACUUGAAAUUCUAUUGUAAAAAAUCUUUUGAGUAAUGAAAUUUUCAUUUGUUUUAA